This 282-nucleotide long non-coding RNA is filed under the name Danio rerio (zebrafish). RNAcentral describes it as "uncharacterized LOC100535213, transcript variant 2 (LOC100535213)". The record is from RNAcentral. Lineage: Eukaryota; Metazoa; Chordata; Actinopteri; Cypriniformes; Danionidae.
AUAUUUUAGACCGUUCUUCUUUACAAGUAAAACUAAAAUGGCGUCAGCUGGAGAGUCCUUCUGUGAGUCAUCUGGAGGAUCUUGAUGGGCGGAUCUCCGAAAGAGAAGAGCAGAUGGAGCUCUGCACUAUGAUCCUGAACGACCUGCUGGAAAUUCAGAAAAUAGUUGCUAAAAGAGGACUUGAAAAUACAACAUUUAAACCAGAUAACUGAGCUGCUUGUUAAAUUAUGAUCUGAAACUUCUGCGUAUGAAUAAAGUCUUGAAAUGAAUUCUUGAUAUUAA